This 191-nucleotide unclassified non-coding RNA is filed under the name uncultured Rhizophydiales. RNAcentral's name for it is "sequence contains ITS2". Lineage: Eukaryota; Fungi; Chytridiomycota; Chytridiomycetes; Rhizophydiales. The record is from RNAcentral.
GUAUCUUUUCACCAGUAUAUGCUGUUGAAGAUUUGGGGCUUCUCGCUUGAGUGCCCUUAAAGCUAUAGCUUGACACUGAUCGAGUGCUAGAGCGUUUGUAUUUGAAACUCUUCGAGUACCUGUACAGCGACCUACGCGCAAAGCUCGAGACUGGGCCAAGUCCACCACGGAGGUUUGAAAAAGAACCCGAA